RNAcentral lists this ribosomal RNA (586 nucleotides) under Lactiplantibacillus plantarum. RNAcentral describes it as "bacterial SSU rRNA". It matches the Rfam family "Bacterial small subunit ribosomal RNA", at positions 70 to 631 of the family's 1533-position model. The record is from RNAcentral. Lineage: Bacteria; Bacillati; Bacillota; Bacilli; Lactobacillales; Lactobacillaceae.
UGAUUGGUGCUUGCAUCAUGAUUUACAUUUGAGUGAGUGGCGAACUGGUGAGUAACACGUGGGAAACCUGCCCAGAAGCGGGGGAUAACACCUGGAAACAGAUGCUAAUACCGCAUAACAACUUGGACCGCAUGGUCCGAGCUUGAAAGAUGGCUUCGGCUAUCACUUUUGGAUGGUCCCGCGGCGUAUUAGCUAGAUGGUGGGGUAACGGCUCACCAUGGCAAUGAUACGUAGCCGACCUGAGAGGGUAAUCGGCCACAUUGGGACUGAGACACGGCCCAAACUCCUACGGGAGGCAGCAGUAGGGAAUCUUCCACAAUGGACGAAAGUCUGAUGGAGCAACGCCGCGUGAGUGAAGAAGGGUUUCGGCUCGUAAAACUCUGUUGUUAAAGAAGAACAUAUCUGAGAGUAACUGUUCAGGUAUUGACGGUAUUUAACCAGAAAGCCACGGCUAACUACGUGCCAGCAGCCGCGGUAAUACGUAGGUGGCAAGCGUUGUCCGGAUUUAUUGGGCGUAAAGCGAGCGCAGGCGGUUUUUUAAGUCUGAUGUGAAAGCCUUCGGCUCAACCGAAGAAGUGCAUCGGAA